GCGGGGGUUGCCGAGCCUGGCCAAAGGCGCGGGACUUAAGAUCCCGUCCCAUAGGGGUUCGUGGGUUCAAAUCCCACCCCCCGCA
Molecule: transfer RNA, 85 nt
Filed under: Nitrososphaerales archaeon
Lineage: Archaea; Thermoproteati; Nitrososphaerota; Nitrososphaeria; Nitrososphaerales
Description: tRNA-Leu
Rfam family: tRNA
About the family: Transfer RNA (tRNA) molecules are approximately 80 nucleotides in length. Their secondary structure includes four short double-helical elements and three loops (D, anti-codon, and T loops).
Source: RNAcentral